CAGCCAAAUCUGAACCCACAAAACCAGUGUCUACCACAGCCAAGCCAAAACCUACAACCACACUUCCAACCACAACCACAGCCAAGCCACCACCCAUAGCCACACUCCCAGCCACAGCCAAGCCCAAAGCCCCAGCACAGGCACCCUUCAGCACAGCCAAGCCAAAACCUGCCAGCACGCUUCCAACAACAACCCCCACCAGGCCAAGACCCACAGCACCAGCAGCCCCCACAGCCAUGGCCAAGCCAAAACCCACUAUGCCAGCAGCCACCAGCACUGCAGCCAAGCCAAAGCCCACCACAACUAUGGCCAAGCCAAUACCCACCACACCAAAACCCACCCUAACAACCACCACCACUAAGCCAACAACCACCACUGCCACCAAGACAUCACCCACCCCCCUGAAACCCAACACAACCACCACCACCACCAAGCCAACACCCACCACACCAAAACCCAUCACAACCACCACCAAACCAACGCCCACCACACCAACAUCUACCACCACUACAGCCAAGGCAACGCCUGCUGCUACAACACUAGCACCUGCCACAACAGCAAAGACACAACUGAAAACUGCCACAACCACAAAGCCAGAAGCAGAAAGACCUGAUCCUACUGAGGCAACCGGGAUCACUCUUUCCUUUGAGCCCACCCUAGACCCAGAUUACAAUAUAUCUCCAGAGGCAGACACUGGAGAGCCUUUUAGCUCCUUCACUACAGAGGAUCCAGCCUUAUUAGAAAGCAUGGGCACAGCCUUCAGCCCCAGAUCAGUCCCAGAAAUAAAGAAAGGUGUCAAAGAGCAUGGGAAAGAGAAAUCAGUCUUUCCCAGUCCGUCUCCAUCCCUCAGCCAAGCUGUUCCAGAGAUGAAGCUAGGUUUCAAUAGAGCUGAGCUCAUAACCCCCUCCAAGUCAGUGGUCCUCAGCCCUGAAGAGCCCACGUUCUUGCAUUUAACAUCAUCCUCCAAAGACAAAAAAGGGUCGAGCCCCCAUUUCCAGACAUCCCUCUCAGCAGGUGCCCUGGACACAGAAGAACUGGAGAC
Molecule: long non-coding RNA, 1042 nt
Filed under: Chloebia gouldiae (Gouldian finch)
Lineage: Eukaryota; Metazoa; Chordata; Aves; Passeriformes; Passeridae
Description: Erythrura gouldiae (Gouldian finch) lncRNA (ENSEGOG00005018173.1)
Source: RNAcentral